UUAUCUUGAAAAAGCUAAACCAAAACCAAAGUACUCGCGAAUAUUUGGGAACUGCCACUUUCCUUUCUCAGGCGUCAAGAAAAUGCAUCGCCCGCAGGGUGACCUGCUGGGCGAUGCAAGUUCCCAUUCCCGGCUACUAAUGGUGCCUUUGCCUGCCCUCUUUUCUUCUCUCAUUCCUCCAUUAUUCAGCCCAUCCCUCUCAUUUCUGAUUCCCAUAUUCCUAUUCCCAUUCCAGUUUCCAUUAUUCGCCUUCGCCCUUUUAUUCCAUUCCUCUCUUCUCCUUCAAGCCUCAAUCCGUCCCUCAUAAAUACUAGUCACCCAACUCACAAAACCCAGCUAGAUUUUCACCUCAGAUACCAUUUCUUGAAGUCCUAUUUGAUAUUCAAGAAAAUAAACAAAGAAAAGAUAAAGAAAGAUACAGUUUUUAAUUAUUAUUAUUUUUUAUUUCCCAUCCCUUGUGGAUUCUAGUCACCCAACAUAAACCCGGCUAGAUUUUAACCCCAGAUAACAUUUCCUGAACUCCCAUUUGAUAUUCAAGAUAAUAAAGAAAGAAAAGGUAUAGAAAGAUACAGUUUUUUUUUUUAGCUUUUUCUUCUUGGGGAAUGACUAAUUUGGAAGUUUGGCUCAAGAAUUUAGUAGCGAACUCAUUAGAAUCAAAACAAGUACAGUAUUUAGCUGAAGCCCACGAUUUUUCGCUGCAUUUGAAUGGUUUUAUCGGUGGAGGAUUAUUUUUGGAACCUUCGAUUCCGUCAUCAUUUGUUUCAUUAGUGAAUCCGAACAAUUCGUCGAAUUCUCUUAGUCUGGUCGGAGUUUCAUGUAGUGGUGAUAGGAGGAGUAGGAGGAGGAGUCGCCGGAGAGGGAUCGUUGCUUGUGGCGGCAGCGGAAGCGGGAGGUUUUUGUCAGUGACGCUUUCGACUGUAAAGGGAGGUGAAGGUGGAGAAGGGAUUGGUGAGGUGUUGUUGCAAGAUGCAGGCAAGAGUGUGGAGUGUGAAACGCCGGCGUUUGAAGAAGGUGAGAAGAAAAAAGAAGGCGAAUCUAAGGUGAGAGAAGUAAAAGGAAAGGCUUUGAAUACUGUUAAGCAUCUUUGGGCUGGUGCUGUGGCUGCUAUGGUUUCUAGAACUUUUGUGGCACCACUUGAGAGACUAAAGCUGGAAUACAUAGUUCGUGGUGAACAGAAAAAUCUAUUUGAGCUGAUCAAAACUAUUGCUGCCACUCAAGGGCUGAAAGGAUUCUGGAAAGGAAAUUUUGUUAACAUCUUGCGGACAGCUCCCUUUAAGGCUGUCAACUUUUAUGCUUAUGAUACUUACAGAAAUCAGUUGCUUAGAAUGUCUGGUAAUGAGGAGACAACACAUUUUGAAAGGUUUGUUGCUGGUGCUGCUGCUGGAAUCACUGCUACUGUGCUCUGCAUACCUAUGGACACUAUCAGGACUGUAAUGGUAGCUCCUGGAGGGGAAGCCUUGGGCGGUGUAAUUGGUGCUUUUCGUCACAUGGUCCAGACUGAGGGGUUUUUUUCUCUUUACAAGGGAUUACUUCCAUCCAUCGUAAGCAUGGCUCCUUCAGGCGCUGUUUUCUAUGGAGUUUAUGACAUAUUAAAAUCUGCUUAUCUGCAUUCACCAGAAGGUCGGAAACGGCUUCAACAUAUGAAACAACAAGGUGAAGAAUUGAAUGCUUUAGAACAACUGGAGUUGGGUCCUGUGAGGACACUAAUAUAUGGGGCGAUUGCUGGUGCUUGUUCUGAAGCUGCUACAUACCCUUUUGAAGUAGUUAGAAGACAGCUUCAGAUGCAAGUUCGAGCUACAAAAAUGAGUGCUUUGGGAACUUGCAUGAAGAUAGUAGAGCAAGGUGGUAUUCCUGCACUUUAUGCGGGGCUGAUUCCUAGCUUGCUACAGGAAGAUUCUAGAUUUUCUGAUUGAAUGUUGAUAAACUGAGGCAGUGCAUCAUCCAUGCAGUCAAGUUGAUUCCCCAACUUGAUUGUGCUUGACUUUUGAAACACCCAGGUUCUGCCAUCAGCAGCGAUAAGCUAUUUUGUUUAUGAGUUCAUGAAGAUAGUUCUCGAGGUGGAGUAAACGUAAAAGUUAAUCCUCCUAAUAAUAAUCUUGCGGAAGUUGAUGCUGAUUGCUGGCUAGAGCCCAUAUCUUUCAUAAAGGCCCUGGAUCAUGAUACUUCUUGUGCUCUUAUUAGUUAGGUGGAGGAAAGACUUCCAAAUUUAUACACUUCUAUCAAACACACAGCUACAGGGGCGUUUUCAUUUGUCUGCCUUUGUAUCUUUCAUUUUACAUUUGUCAAGGUGGGAAAAAAGAGGGAUGCUAUCUUCCUCAUUUGUGUUAGUGGACAUUGUGCAUUUUUGGCUGAAGAUUUGGAUUUCACUAGACUGAAUGAUGCAUCCUGGAGCUAAAAUGACCUGUAUUACCUGUCUUUCACUUCCUGGUAAAUUCAGGAGUUAUACCAUGCCUUAAUGUCUAUUGUCGUUAA
This is an RNA transcript of Coffea arabica (coffee), 2472 nucleotides long. It is a transcript of the gene named probable mitochondrial adenine nucleotide transporter BTL3, with no coding region annotated. The record is from RefSeq and is a predicted model, not a curated record. Lineage: Eukaryota; Viridiplantae; Streptophyta; Magnoliopsida; Gentianales; Rubiaceae.